GUGUUGUAAGAAAGGGGAGAAUUUUUAGCACUUUGACAAGGUUGGGAUUAUAAACACAUAAGACAAGCCAAGUUGAAAAAUGGCAAACCAGCUUUUAU
Cimex lectularius (bed bug) is the source of this 98-nucleotide small nuclear RNA. Lineage: Eukaryota; Metazoa; Arthropoda; Insecta; Hemiptera; Cimicidae. The record is from RefSeq and is a predicted model, not a curated record.